GUUUGAUGGGCGUAGUAACAAUAACUAGUGGCUUUUGGGAACAGACAAUUGUUGUACAUCCAAUCAAACUAAGCACAAAUUUCUUUGUAAGUUUGUAGGACGCCAAAAGAAGCAGGUGCCAACAUUCAGGAUGAGCCCAUGGAAAAAACAAUCCGAUGCAAGGGAAUAUAUUGCCUUAUAACUGCAAUAAAUACAGGCUGACGCAAAUGAAGAUGUGUGCCCCUCUAUUAUAGAAAAGCCACAGAAAGAAAACCCAAGCCCUGAGAUGGCAUUACAUCGAUUCACUGUGGUGUUGACAUUGGAUUCUUGAUCUCCAACACGUCUCCCACCGAACAAUCCCAAUUUCUUUUGUUAGGACAGAGCAAGGUCAGACCGGAUCAAACCAGAAAGAUAUCCAUAAAUGUGCCAGACUCCAGUGAAAGAAAAACAUCUCCAACGAUCGCACUUUAAAACUGUCCAUACGUAAUUAAAAGAUGAAGUGAACAUUUAUCCAGAGAUUAUCCAGUGACAUUUUACAAAGUCUGAAGAGAAUCAAGAUAAUCACUAAUGGAGAGAUGUCUCUCUUUCACGCACUAGCCCACUCAAUUCUCAGAAGAAAUACAGUUGGGGAAGAAAAAAAAUCCCCUGAA
Molecule: non-coding RNA, 629 nt
Organism: Pimephales promelas (fathead minnow)
Lineage: Eukaryota; Metazoa; Chordata; Actinopteri; Cypriniformes; Leuciscidae
Source: RefSeq, a predicted model, not a curated record